ACGAUGUAUACCUUUCUGCUGUUAAAAAUUUAUUGCGCUAAUUAAUAUGAAUGCUUUUUGUAUACAAAAAAAAGAGGAAAGUUUCUGUUUUAGGUUUAAUGCUAGUGUCAACAAACGAACCGUACUAAAAAAUGACUGUACAAAUGUGUGCGCAGCAUUUGUAAAAAUUUUCAAAAUAACGAUUUUCAAAAAUACCAUAAAAAAAAAAUACCAUAUACCUGUAUAAAGACAUAAAAAAGUAACUGUGUAAAAAAGUACCAUAUAUAUCGAGGGAUAGGGGUACUUGCUGAUUGCAAUAAUUUCAAUUGAUUUGCGCCAUCUAUUGUCAAUUAUAUAAAAAAUUGAUUAAAAAUCAAAUGUAGCCUAUAGUUAUUAUUCUCUGUAUCUGAUUAAAUGCUACGGCGUCGACCUUUAAUGACAGAACAUUAUCAUCAAAUUUCAUGAAAAUUCAUUAUUUGUUCAAAGGUUAUUACGAUAUACUACGAUCAAUGUCCGACUCUAACCAAUUCGCGAAGUGGCUGGCCACUUCUAGAUUUGGCCAAAGCCCGAAAUAUACGAGAAUUUAUGAAGUAUACGAAAUAUAUGACCAAUUCGCGAUGCGCCUGACCAUCGUUAGCCAAUUCGAGAAUUGUUCAAGAAAAAGUGGUCAAAGCUACAUUUUUUGCAGGGCUAAGUAACCGAGUGCAUUCAUGCGUCACAUGUU
This 703-nucleotide long non-coding RNA is filed under the name Androctonus crassicauda. The record is from RNAcentral. Lineage: Eukaryota; Metazoa; Arthropoda; Arachnida; Scorpiones; Buthidae.